This 88-nucleotide transfer RNA is filed under the name Paracoccus marinus. RNAcentral describes it as "tRNA-Gly". Lineage: Bacteria; Pseudomonadati; Pseudomonadota; Alphaproteobacteria; Rhodobacterales; Paracoccaceae. The record is from RNAcentral.
CGCUGGCAUGGCCGCGGGGGUGGCGGGCGUCUCCGAUGCCCGCGAUGCCCUGCCGGAAGCACCCGGGUUCGACGCCCCGACCCUGUGC